AUCAUAGUCAAAAUCUGAGUUUGAUCCUGGCUCAGAAGGAACGCUAGCUAUAUGCUUAACACAUGCAAGUCGAACGUUGUUUUCGGGGAGCUGGGCAGAAGGAAAAGAGGCUCCUAGCUAAAGUUGUCUCGCCCUGCUUCAAAACUACAGGGCGCGCGCUACGGCUUUGACCUAACGGCCUCCAUUUGCUGGAAUCGGAAUAGUUGAGAACAAAGUGGCGAACG
Molecule: ribosomal RNA, 224 nt
Filed under: Thinopyrum intermedium
Lineage: Eukaryota; Viridiplantae; Streptophyta; Magnoliopsida; Poales; Poaceae
Description: partial 18S ribosomal RNA
Source: RNAcentral